Non-coding RNA from Nylanderia fulva, 2677 nucleotides. NCBI's taxonomy places the organism in Eukaryota, Metazoa, Arthropoda, Insecta, Hymenoptera, Formicidae. The record is from RefSeq and is a predicted model, not a curated record.
GCGCCGCAUUCCAGCGCCGGCUGAAGGUCAAGUCGUACGUAUCUCUCUCUCGUCCACGAUUAUUAGGAUUCAAUAAUAUUAAUCAUAAACAUGACAGGAAGAUGCGACAAAUGGAACCAAUGUCCCAAGAUAUUUAUGAUUUCUGCUCAAAGUAUAUGCUUUAAAAGAGCGCAUUUUAAAAACAGAGAUCAUUACAUUUGAUCAGCUGGUAUUAUGCACUUUGACAGAAAAACAAUCAUUGGAGCAAAAUCCGAGAGCAUUAAUAUGAGACUUGUAAGAACAUGAAACAUUUUGGAUUGAAAUCUGUGUCUCAUUCUCACACAUGCAUUCUAAAAGUUCCUCGGGUUUUCUUCGUCAUCCGAUUGCGUUUCAUCUACGGCAGUAACAUCUGGGAAAUAUAAUUUGGACUCUUCGAUAGCCUUCUCCGGAUUUUCGCUCACAUGAAAAGGUCCAAUUCCAGCAAAGCCCAGAAAUGCUUCGCAACCUACUUUCUUCACUGUGCAGACGAAUAUUUCGUAACUGUGAAUAUAACGAGGAGUAAUUUAAUAUUCAGGACGCUCACCAUGCCUGUGCAAGGACCACUCCAAUCCGAAUAUACGUCCACUACUAAAUAAGGACAUUAUAUGAAAAAUAUUUUUGACAAGAUAUUUAAUAGAGAAGUUACUUUUAUAUACUUCUACGAGAGGUAUAUACUUAUGUGACAAAAACUUGAAUAAACUUUGAGGAACGGUUAUACAGAGUUUUUUGCAAACAUGUUUGGGAAAGAAGCUAUCAAACUCAUAACGGAGCUCGAUAUGUAUGAAGAUAUCCGGCCGUUUAAUGAACAGGUGAUGCGACAAGUUUUUGAAGAGAUGCAAAGUCUUUACGAGGCUAAUCUGGUGGACAGUAACGCCAUACAAAAUGAAGGAAAUAAUGAGUUAUUACCAUCAGUGCAUUUCCGCCAUACAGCUCUGCUCAGGAACAAAAGGUGUAUUUUGGCAUAUCUGUUUCAUCGGAUUAGGCGUUUACGGCAGAUGCGUUGGGAAUUGGGUAGCAUCCUGCCGACUGAAAUAACCGCCAAUUUGCUAAAUGCAGAGGUGCAAUGGUUUCAGAAUUACAACAAGUCUUUGGCCACCUACAUGAGAUCAAUCGGAGAUGAUCAAUCAGGGGAGAUGAUCGGAUUGAAUCUGACUGUGAACAUGAGUCCUCCAAAGAUGCUCUAUGUCGAAGUAAAAUGCUUAACCGAUUUCGGUAAGCUGGAACUCGACAAUGGCGAAAUUAUUACGUUGAAAAAGAACACAUACCAUCUGCUCCCAAGGGCUAUAUGCGAGCCGCUUAUCAGACAAGACGUUGCAUUAACAGGAGACGAGCAGUUUUUUCUCAGUGAGGACCGGUAGCAGUCGACAUCUAUCUCGCACAAUCAUCAUUUUCGAGUUUUUCCUUCUUCUGGAGCUACAGACAAAGCAGCGUGAAUUUCCUGCAGUGAACGAAGGAACACACAUCGACCAAGAGCAGCAGAAAAAAUUGGGCUUUCUAUAAACUUGACUUGGAAUGCCAUUCGUCAAUAUUUGGCAAUAACAGAUGGCCAGUCAAGCAUAUGAAAUUCGUUGGGAAAAAUUGACAGAGAAGAUGCUCUCCCGUGCAACACACAGCGAAAUUUGAAAAAUUUCAACGGGGCGUUAUCUUUCGAAGAAAGAAGAUCACAUGUUUGAACUGUUCUGACGAAAAAAGAUAACGGGUAAUAAAUGAAGCUAAUUGCCCGAACGGUUCAUUAUACGACCUCAAUAUAAUGAUGGGAAAACCCAUGUGGAAUUUCUCUCCUUUGUACGCAUCGAGGUCGCAUAUUCGGCGAAUCGAUUUCCCGGUACACGAACAGUGAACGACCAUGGGACAUUUGCUGCGAUGCAUCGUCGCGAGGCCUUCAGAUAAGAAAUGCUGGUGGAAUUUCCGGUGAGUUCGUCGCGCCGCUUUUACCGAGAGGUGUCACGAAGAAAGUAGCCCGACUAUCACAUGCGGCAGCAAAUGCGAAAGUUACAUCGAUCAACGUGUAACUCACGUGUAGCAACGGUCUGCCGAUCCAUGGGAGAAAGACAACAUCUUCGAAAUAUAUGCUAAAGAUGAAUGUUUUAAAUCUCUCUGGACUUCACAAGAUCCGAAAAAUCCGAUGAUUCAUUUCUUCACAAAAAAGAAAGGAAGAAAAAGAAGAUGGUGCAACUUGAAUAAGCGGUGUCAAUGUCUUUAGAAUAAAAAAUGUGCUAGACGCGAAAGAUUUAUAGAAUGAAUGAAAGAUAUGAUCUUGUUGAAAGAUCUGCGUGUAUGUGUGUCAGUCCCGAAAACGAAGAGUGAAACUUUAUCGAUACGAAAUUGCGACAUUUUUUGCAUCUGAUAAUUUAGAAUCCAACUUACGAGAUAAAAGCGCGCCUUAUCUCGCAAUGUUACACGAUUUUAAUACAAACCGACCUGCUAUGUAGAGAUUUGGAGAAGCACUCCUUCUGUCUCUCUCUAGAUAAUUUUCUGAAAGAGCUGCUAUUAUUGAGAUAUUUACGAUACAUAUCGAUAAAAAUUCGCGAUCGCGCUUGCACGCAAAUUAUUACGAAAGAAAGCAAUGUCAUGCUGAUAAGAAAAAGAACAAUGAUACGCGCAACUUUAAUAGAACAUUCUAUUAAAGACGUUUAAAAGACGAAUCUUUGAGAAAAAA